GCCGGGUGUGGUAGGGCGCACCUGUAGUCCCAGCUACUCUGGAGGCUGAGGCAGGAGGAUCAGUUGAGCCUAGGAGUCUGAGAUUGUAGUGAGCUGUGAUUGCACCACUGUAUUCCAGACUGGGCAAUAGAGUGAGACCCUGUCUCAA
RNAcentral lists this non-coding RNA (148 nucleotides) under Chlorocebus sabaeus (green monkey). The record is from Rfam by way of RNAcentral. Lineage: Eukaryota; Metazoa; Chordata; Mammalia; Primates; Cercopithecidae.